This 588-nucleotide long non-coding RNA is filed under the name Carica papaya (papaya). RNAcentral's name for it is "long non-coding RNA (CPAP_LNC000433)". The record is from RNAcentral. Lineage: Eukaryota; Viridiplantae; Streptophyta; Magnoliopsida; Brassicales; Caricaceae.
CUCUCUCUCUUUAACUCUUGAAAAUUGGAAGAAUGGAAGUGAGGAGAAAAUGGGAGAAAGGGCCCUUAUUUAUAGGAUAUAGGAGCCAUUAGAUUUGCACCAAGUGGCAAAAUCCGAUGAAGAGAGAGUAAAAAGAUGUUUGGCACGAAAAAAUAGAGGGAAAAGACCUCCUCCACUGGCGGCGGCACCUCAAGCGAUAGCAUGCCGCCCGAGGCAGGUGACGGCACAUUGCCUGAGGUGGCAGUGGCCUCAUCCGCCUGGCAUGCGCUGCAGGCACCGGGCUACCCUGUCAUGCUCAGGAGUUGGCUUGUCCAUUAGGGCGCUAUGCGCAGGCCUAUCUGCGUAGGCCUGCUACAUGGACGGUGCGCACACAAUGUGCGAUGCCUGCCUGUUCGCGCGUGAUGUGAUGAGCAUGGAUGGGUCUUGCUUGCGCACAACAAAAGGCGCGCACAGGCCUGUCCUCCGCACCGCAUGUAAUGGGACGUGUGUACUAUGCACACAUCCUGCGCCUGUGAUGCGUACACGCAUGAACAAAUCUCACUGAAGCCCGUGCGGGCCGCCUAUCACGUGGGACUUUUCUCACACGAG